GACGAACGCUGGCGGCGUGCUUAACACAUGCAAGUCGAACGCAGAACCCGCUAGGUUGGGGGAUGAGUGGUAGACGGGGGAGUGAGACUAACACGACCUGCCCCCGGCUCUGAGAUAGCUACAAGAAAGGGAGGCUGAUACCGAAAGUGAACGCUGUCCGCAUGCUCUGGGGGUGGAAAGGAUUUCCGGCUGUGGUUGGGCCCGCGGCCUAUCAGCUUGUUGGUUGGGUAGUGGGUUACCAAGGCGGCGACGGGUGGCCGGCCUGAGAGGGUGACCGGCCACAAUGGGCCUGCGAGACGGCCCAGACUCCUACGGGCGGCAGCAGUGGGGAAUAUUGCGCAAUGGGCGGACGCCUGACGCAGCGACGCCGCGUGCGGGAUGCUGGCCUUCGGGUGGUAAACCUCUUUCAGCGGGGACGAAGCGAUAGUGACGGUACCUGCUCAGGAAGCCCCGGCUAACUACGUG
RNAcentral lists this ribosomal RNA (465 nucleotides) under uncultured bacterium. RNAcentral describes it as "partial 16S ribosomal RNA". It matches the Rfam family "Bacterial small subunit ribosomal RNA", at positions 28 to 507 of the family's 1533-position model. The record is from RNAcentral.